RNAcentral lists this long non-coding RNA (248 nucleotides) under Trifolium pratense (red clover). RNAcentral describes it as "long non-coding RNA (TPRA_LNC009518)". The record is from RNAcentral. Lineage: Eukaryota; Viridiplantae; Streptophyta; Magnoliopsida; Fabales; Fabaceae.
AGAGAUGUUGAAUAUCUCUAUAUAUUACUAAUUUACUACACAUAUUUUGGAUAAAUUAAGUGUAAUGAAAAAGUUAUAAACCAGAAGUUUAUACUGCAGUUUUAUAUAUAAUAGUGCAAUUGAAGUACAAAUUAUUGUAAACCAGAAGUUUACAAAUUAUAUUAAAUUUAUUGUUGGCAAUACCGGUUGGGUCAUCCCGGAUUUAUUAUGAUGCGAAAAAAAAAACUAUAAAUAUAUUUUGAAGGGCC